CCCUUAGAUGUUCUGGGCCGCACGCGCGUUACAAUGAAUCGUUCAACAGGUUUCUUCCUGAGUCGAAAGGCUUGGGUAAUCCUUUAAAUACGGUUCGUGCUAGGGAUAGAUUUUUGCAAUUAUUAAUCUUGAACGAGGAAUAUUUAGUAAACGCAGGUCAUCAGCCUGCAUUGAUUACGUCCCUGCCCUUUGUACACACCGCCCGUCGCUACUACCGAUUGAACGGUUUAGUGAGGGCCUCGGAUUGGUCUCGGCCCGCUCUUUACCGGGCGGCGCCGUUGGUCGAGAAGACGCUCGAACUUGAUCGUUUAGAGGAAGUAAAAGUCGUAACA
Molecule: ribosomal RNA, 332 nt
Filed under: uncultured eukaryote
Lineage: Eukaryota
Description: partial 18S ribosomal RNA
Rfam family: Eukaryotic small subunit ribosomal RNA
Source: RNAcentral